This 300-nucleotide non-coding RNA is filed under the name Alligator mississippiensis (American alligator). RNAcentral's name for it is "Eukaryotic large subunit ribosomal RNA". It matches the Rfam family "Eukaryotic large subunit ribosomal RNA", at positions 2543 to 2749 of the family's 3401-position model. The record is from Rfam by way of RNAcentral. Lineage: Eukaryota; Metazoa; Chordata; Crocodylia; Alligatoridae.
ACUCUCAGUCAACUUGUGGCCAUUAUUCCUAAGUACUCCUGGAGGGGCUCUCGCUUCUGGCUCCAAGCGCCCGGCGCGUGCUGGGCGCAACCCACUCCAGGGACAGCGUCAGGUGGGGAGUUUGACAGGGGCAGUACACCUGUUAAACUGUAACACAGGUAUCCUAAGGUGAGCUCAGGGAGGACAGAAACCUCCCAUGGAGCAGAAGGACAAAAACUCAGUUGAUCUUGAUUUUCCUUGUUGUUGUUGUUGUUGUUAUGAGAAAAACAGAUUCAAUUUCUUCUGUACAAGAGUGGGUGU